AUUGAACGCUGGCGACAGGCCUAACACAUGCAAGUCGAGCGAGCGGCGGACGGGUGAGUAAUGUCUGGGAAACUGCCUGAUGGAGGGGGAUAACUACUGGAAACGGUAGCUAAUACCGCAUACCAUCAGAUGUGCCCAUGUGGGAUUAGCUAGUAGGUUGGGUAACGGCUCACCUAGGCGACGAUCCCUAGCUGGUCUGAGAGGAUGACCAGCCACACUGGAACUGAGACACGGUCCAGACUCCUACGGGAGGCAGCAGUGGGGAAUAUUGCACAAUGGGCGCAAGCCUGAUGCAGCCAUGCCGCGUGAGUGAAGAAGGCCUUCGGAUUGUAAAGCACUUUCAGCGGGGAAGCGUUACCCGCAGAAGAAGCACCGGCUAACUCCGUGCCAGCCGCCGCGGUAAUAC
RNAcentral lists this ribosomal RNA (406 nucleotides) under uncultured bacterium. RNAcentral's name for it is "partial 16S ribosomal RNA". It matches the Rfam family "Bacterial small subunit ribosomal RNA", at positions 30 to 526 of the family's 1533-position model. The record is from RNAcentral.